GUUUUCCCGCAGAAAUAGUAAUACUACUCCCUCCGAUCCAAAAUAAGUGUCUGCAUUUCUAUUAUAGUGUAUAUUUUGAUACAGAGGGAGUACUAUAAAUCACUCACAAACUCAAAACGGAGCUCUUUCUUUUUUAGGUAAAACUCAAAACAGAGCUGGGGAAGUAAGAAAAGGCAGUUCUCUGUGUAAACAGCUGACUGGGCUGCGAAUCCGGCCCUGGAGCAACCAGCGCCACUCCGUCCGCCGUCGACGGCUACGGGUUGAAUUACCCUUUUACCACGAGCCUGCACCGCGCCGUCCCGUUGGUGGUUCGGUUCAACGCAGUACAAGAGUUUAGAGCAGAGCGACACGAGCGCGCAGAUGGGCGAGCGGAGUCUGGCCCUGAGCGGAGCGGAGAUUGCGGUCGCCGGCGAAGCCGAGAAGCUCCAGUCGCGGCGUCCUUAUCCGCAGCGCGGGUGGCCGCUGGCCGGCGGAGGUCCAGUAGUCCAGUAUCCCAAGUUGCUGCACUCGCUAGGUGUUCUGCUUCCAAGUGAGGUACUGCGAUCAAUUAUAUGAAUGUGCCAAUAUUGCCAGCCUUUUUUGCAGCAGCAGCAGAUUUGCAGCUUUUUUGGUGUGUUUGGUGGCAAUUAUCAGGGUCACUAACUCCUAUGGUGCUAGGAUGGGGCCAAAGGACAUAUUGCUAAGCUGCUAGUUCGUGGAAGCUUUUGAAAUAUCCAGUAAGUAGGUGGCUGCUGAUUUCCCUGUGGUCGUCCAUAUCUGGCUCUAUGCUGCAUCUCCUUAGCUAUAUUCUAGUUGGCUAGAGGUUUUCCUGUAUCCUUUGUAGAUGCAUCGCAAAAAGAGUUCCAUGUUAUUGAUUUCUGUGCUAUCAUGGAGGAAAUGUUUGUAGGUCUUCUUUGUAACUGUUUGCUGAAACCCUGUAACUGAUUAUUUAUUUUCCAACUUUUUAUACUGUGAAUCUUUUCAUGCA
This is a long non-coding RNA of Triticum urartu, 967 nucleotides long. RefSeq lists it as uncharacterized. The record is from RefSeq and is a predicted model, not a curated record. NCBI's taxonomy places the organism in Eukaryota, Viridiplantae, Streptophyta, Magnoliopsida, Poales, Poaceae.